Long non-coding RNA from Hibiscus syriacus, 150 nucleotides. RefSeq lists it as uncharacterized. Lineage: Eukaryota; Viridiplantae; Streptophyta; Magnoliopsida; Malvales; Malvaceae. The record is from RefSeq and is a predicted model, not a curated record. The transcript is spliced from 3 exons.
AUGUCCGUGCGAGCAAUGGCACCACAUCCGAAAGAGCAAUCUUUUGCAUCCGCAUCAGCUGACAACAUUAAGAAAUUCAGUCUUCCAAAGGGAGAAUUCUUACACAAUAUGCUCUCUCAGCAGAAGAUUAUAAUUAACACCAGGGCUGUC